Molecule: ribosomal RNA, 634 nt
Filed under: Nocardioides sp. TSAR49
Lineage: Bacteria; Bacillati; Actinomycetota; Actinomycetes; Propionibacteriales; Nocardioidaceae
Description: bacterial SSU rRNA
Rfam family: Bacterial small subunit ribosomal RNA
Source: RNAcentral
GGGUGAGUAACACGUGAGUAAUCUGCCCCUGGCUUUGGGAUAGCCACCGGAAACGGUGAUUAAUACCGGAUACGACCACUUCUCGCAUGGGAUGGUGGUGGAAAGUUUUUCGGCCAGGGAUGUGCUCGCGGCCUAUCAGCUUGAUGGUGAGGUAAUGGCUCACCAUGGCUUCGACGGGUAGCCGGCCUGAGAGGGUGACCGGUCACACUGGGACUGAGACACGGCCCAGACUCCUACGGGAGGCAGCAGUGGGGAAUAUUGGACAAUGGGCGGAAGCCUGAUCCAGCAACGCCGCGUGAGGGAUGACGGCCUUCGGGUUGUAAACCUCUUUCAGCAGGGACGAAGCGCAAGUGACGGUACCUGCAGAAGAAGCACCGGCCAACUACGUGCCAGCAGCCGCGGUAAUACGUAGGGUGCGAGCGUUGUCCGGAAUUAUUGGGCGUAAAGGGCUCGUAGGCGGUUUGUCGCGUCGGGAGUGAAAACCAGGUGCUUAACACCUGGCUUGCUUUCGAUACGNGCAGACUAGAGGUAUUCAGGGGAGAACGGAAUUCCUGGUGUAGCGGUGAAAUGCGCAGAUAUCAGGAGGAACACCGGUGGCGAAGGCGGUUCUCUGGGAAUAUCCUGACGCUGANGA